AGCUUGCUGGAUGCUGACGAGCGGCGGACGGGUGAGUAAUGCAUAGGAAUCUACCCAGUAGUGGGGGAUAACCUGGGGAAACCCAGGCUAAUACCGCAUACGUCCUACGGGAGAAAGGGGGCUUUGGCUCCCGCUAUCGGAUGAGCCUAUGCCGGAUUAGCUGGUUGGUGAGGUAACGGCUCACCAAGGCGACGAUCCGUAGCUGGUCUGAGAGGAUGAUCAGCCACAUCGGGACUGAGACACGGCCCGAACUCCUACGGGAGGCAGCAGUGGGGAAUAUUGGACAAUGGGGGCAACCCUGAUCCAGCCAUGCCGCGUGUGUGAAGAAGGCCCUCGGGUUGUAAAGCACUUUCAGCGAGGAAGAACGCCUGGUGGUUAAUACCCGCCAGGAAAGACAUCACUCGCAGAAGAAGCACCGGCUAACUCCGUGCCAGCAGCCGCGGUAAUACGGAGGGUGCAAGCGUUAAUCGGAAUUACUGGGCGUAAAGCGCGCGUAGGUGGCUUGAUAAGCCGGUUGUGAAAGCCCCGGGCUCAACCUGGGAACGGCAUCCGGAACUAUCAGGCUAGAGUGCAGGAGAGGAAGGUAGAAUUCCCGGUGUAGCGGUGAAAUGCGUAGAGAUCGGGAGGAAUACCAGUGGCGAAGGCGGCCUUCUGGACUGACACUGACACUGAGGUGCGAAAGCGUGGGUAGCAAACAGGAUUAGAUACCCUGGUAGUCCACGCCGUAAACGAUGUCGACCAGCCGUUGGGUGCCUAGCGCACUUUGUGGCGAAGUUAACGCGAUAAGUCGACCGCCUGGGGAGUACGGCCGCAAGGUUAAAACUCAAAUGAAUUGACGGGGGCCCGCACAAGCGGUGGAGCAUGUGGUUUAAUUCGAUGCAACGCGAAGAACCUUACCUACCCUUGACAUCCUGCGAACUUGGUAGA
Molecule: ribosomal RNA, 927 nt
Filed under: Halomonas sp.
Lineage: Bacteria; Pseudomonadati; Pseudomonadota; Gammaproteobacteria; Oceanospirillales; Halomonadaceae
Description: bacterial SSU rRNA
Rfam family: Bacterial small subunit ribosomal RNA
Source: RNAcentral